Molecule: ribosomal RNA, 826 nt
Filed under: Pezicula sporulosa
Lineage: Eukaryota; Fungi; Ascomycota; Leotiomycetes; Helotiales; Dermateaceae
Description: eukaryotic LSU rRNA
Rfam family: Eukaryotic large subunit ribosomal RNA
Source: RNAcentral
ACCUCAGUAACGGCGAGUGAAGCGGUAACAGCUCAAAUUUGAAAUCUGGGUCUUUCAGGCUCCGAGUUGUAAUUUGUAGAAGAUGCUUUGGGUGCGGCCCCGGUCUAAGUUCCUUGGAACAGGACGUCAUAGAGGGUGAGAAUCCCGUAUGUGAUCGGUGGCUUGCGCCCGUGUAAAGCUCUUUCGACGAGUCGGGUUGUUUGGGAAUGCAGCUCUAAAUGGGUGGUAAAUUUCAUCUAAAGCUAAAUAUUGGCCAGAGACCGAUAGCGCACAAGUAGAGUGAUCGAAAGAUGAAAAGGACUUUGGAAAGAGAGUUAAACAGUACGUGAAAUUGUUGAAAGGGAAGCGCUUGCAACCAGACUUGCGCGGGGUUGAUCAUCCGGGGUUCUCCCCGGUGCACUCGGCCUCGCUCAGGCCAGCAUCGGUUUCGGUGGUUGGAUAAAGGCCUUGGGAAUGUGACUUCUUUCGGGGAGUGUUAUAGCCCUCGGUGCAAUGCAGCCUACCGGGACCGAGGACCGCGCUUCGGCUAGGAUGCUGGCGUAAUGGUUGUAAGCGACCCGUCUUGAAACACGGACCAAGGAGUCUAACAUCUAUGCGAGUGUUUGGGUGUCAAACCCAUACGCGUAAUGAAAGUGAACGGAGGUGAGAACCCUUAAGGGUGCAUCAUCGACCGAUCCUGAUGUCUUCGGAUGGAUUUGAGUAAGAGCAUAGCUGUUGGGACCCGAAAGAUGGUGAACUAUGCCUGAAUAGGGUGAAGCCAGAGGAAACUCUGGUGGAGGCUCGCAGCGGUUCUGACGUGCAAAUCGAUCGUCAAAUUUGGGCAUAG